UACAGUGGCGUACGGGUGAGUAACACGUGGAUUAUCUGCCCUGGAGUGGGGAAUAACGCUGGGAAACCGGCGCUAAUACCGCAUAUUCCCGAGAGGGGAAAGCAGCAAUGCGCUCGAGGAGGAGUCCGCGGCCGAUUAGCUAGUUGGCAGGGUAAAAGCCUACCAAGGCUAUGAUCGGUAGCCGGCCUGAGAGGGCACACGGCCACACUGGCACUGAAACACGGGCCAG
This 229-nucleotide ribosomal RNA is filed under the name uncultured bacterium. Its description in RNAcentral is "partial 16S ribosomal RNA". It matches the Rfam family "Bacterial small subunit ribosomal RNA", at positions 91 to 334 of the family's 1533-position model. The record is from RNAcentral.